Molecule: ribosomal RNA, 334 nt
Filed under: uncultured eukaryote
Lineage: Eukaryota
Description: partial 18S ribosomal RNA
Rfam family: Eukaryotic small subunit ribosomal RNA
Source: RNAcentral
CCCUUAGAUGUCCGGGGCCGCACGCGCGCUACACUGAAGGAAUCAGCGUGGCUUUCUCCCGGACCCGAAAGGGUUGGGAAACCCGUUGAAUCUCCUUCGUGAUAGGGAUUGGGGCUUGAAAUUGUUCCCCAUGAACGAGGAAUUCCCAGUAAGCGCGAGUCAUAAGCUCGCGUUGAUUACGUCCCUGCCCUUUGUACACACCGCCCGUCGCUACUACCGAUUGAACGGUUUAGUGAGGGCCUCGGAUUGGUCUCGGCCCGCUCUUUACCGGGCGGCGCCGUUGGUCGAGAAGACGCUCGAACUUGAUCGUUUAGAGGAAGUAAAAGUCGUAACA